This 920-nucleotide long non-coding RNA is filed under the name Homo sapiens (human). Its description in RNAcentral is "HSALNT0081747". Lineage: Eukaryota; Metazoa; Chordata; Mammalia; Primates; Hominidae. The record is from RNAcentral.
CAGCCCACGGCAUUGCCAAGGAGGGUUUGGGCUCCCAAUGAAGGGAUCCUUUAGCCACCAGGGGGCAGCACCAGGACACUUAUUUCUCAGGGAAUAAUCAAAAAGAAGGAAAAAGUUACCUUAUUCAACAAGUAUCUAUUGGACGUCGUAUCGUAUGUGCCAAACACUUAAGGAAUUUACAUUUACUGGGGCAAUGGAAUGGUGAUAACGGGUAUCAAAAGCAAAGUUGCCUACCUCCAAUUUUACGAAUACCUCAUUAGCAUUACCUCUUCCAAACACCCAUGUUGACCUUUCAACAAACAUAUUUUUCGCUUCUUUCUCAUUUCUAGGCCCUCUUCCUUCUUUGAAUCCCACUUUUGGAUGGAUAAUAGUUCAGGUGGGGCUGUCAUAGCUAUAUGCAGGGGUCCCAUUGUGCUAGCUGGCAGGCUUUGCACAAGAUUUUGCAGCUGAAAGAGGAAUUUGAGAAAAAUACAAGAUCCCAAUGAGUAUAAAAUAAAAGCACAGAAGGACACAAUUACCAUUGUGGAUACUGCCAAAUGAUUCACAGGGCAGCAAGUGGGAAGGGAAGGAGCAGAAUCUGCCCGAUUCUUAAUAUGUAGCAAGAGCUUCUACCCAAUAAUUCUGCUUUAAGGGGCCUCUGUUAAGGAAAUAAUCCUAAAUACAUAAAAACAAGCACAUAGGUGGUCAUGAGAUAUUAUUUAGCCAUUAUAAAUAAUACAACUUAGUAUAUACAUUAUCAACUCAAUUAUGUUUUCUGAAAAGGAUACUGAUGAACAAAGACUAGAAAGAAAUACAAAACAGUACUAUAAGUACUUAAUUUUUGUAUGGUGAAUUAUGACUGUGGAAUUUCAAUAUUCAUUUUAGUUCCUAUUUUGAAAAUUUCUACCCUUAACAAUGUCAUUUUUAUAAUCUCUCUACCC